AUGAUGCUGAUAAAAAAUCUGGAGGCGGUGAUGCAUGAUGCUGAUAAUAAGGUGAGCCAAGGAGGAAUUGCUGGAGAACAAGUUGGGCGGUGGCUCCUGAAGUUAAAAUCCGUUGCCUACGACGUUGAGGACCUGCUGGACGACUUGGAUACUAAGAAUAACGAAGCAAAGCUCAAGGCAUUCUUUUCCCGGGACAAUCCAGCCUACCGGUGGAUAACCAGACCCCACAAUUUGGUGGAUGUGAGGAAGAGAAUAGAAGAAAUAGAAAAUGAGGGCAGGGUGUUCAAUCUGGUUCCUCAAGAGCAGGUAGAAAGGAGCAGAAAAAAUGAGACUUUUGCAGCCAGCAGCGACAGAGGCACGUCAACUGGAAUGCAAGGGAGGAGUGCAGAAAAGGAAAAAUUAAUAGGCCUGAUAUUGAGAAGUGAAGCUAAUGUGCAUACCUCCAUCAUUCCAGUUGUGGGGCUUGGUGGUAUAGGAAAGACCACAUUGGCUCAAUCAGUUUAUGCAGACAAGAGGGUCGACAUCUUCAACAUCAGAGCUUGGGUUCAUGUAUCUGAAAAGUUUGAUUUACUCAAAAUUAUGAGGGCCAUCAUCAAAAGCGUAGAUGCCAAAAUCAACCUUGACAAUGUUACUUUGCAGUUUCUACAGGAUUGUCUUCAAGACAAACUUGCUGAUAAAAGGUACCUGAUUGUUUUGGAUGAUUUCUGGGAAGAAGGGAGGGAUAACCUGGAAUAG
Molecule: ribosomal RNA, 735 nt
Filed under: Triticum aestivum (bread wheat)
Lineage: Eukaryota; Viridiplantae; Streptophyta; Magnoliopsida; Poales; Poaceae
Description: partial small subunit ribosomal RNA
Source: RNAcentral